This 1984-nucleotide ribosomal RNA is filed under the name human metagenome. Its description in RNAcentral is "bacterial LSU rRNA". It matches the Rfam family "Bacterial large subunit ribosomal RNA", at positions 823 to 2820 of the family's 2925-position model. The record is from RNAcentral.
GAAAUUCCAAUCGAACCCGGAGAUAGCUGGUUCUCCCCGAAAUAGCUUUAGGGCUAGCGUCGGAAAGAACCUUAGUGAAGGUAGAGCACUGAAUGUGUGAUGGCCCCAUCCCGGGGUACUGAAUACAAUCAAACUGCGAAUGUCAUUAAGGAUGUCCGGCAGUCAGACUGUGAGUGAUAAGGUCCAUGGUCAAGAGGGAAACAGCCCAGACCGCCAGUUAAGGUCCCAAAAUACAGGCUAAGUGGAAAAGGAUGUGGGGAUGCCCAGACAACUAGGAGGUUGGCUCAGAAGCAGCCAUCCUUUAAAGAGUGCGUAACAGCUCACUAGUCGAGUGACCCUGCGCCGAAAAUGUACCGGGGCUAAGCCUGAUACCGAAACUGCGGAUUGUAGGAAACUAUAGUGGUAGGGGAGCGUUGUAUACGAGCAGAAGCCGUACCGUGAGGAGCGGUGGAUUGUAUAGAAGUGAGAAUGCCGGUGUGAGUAGCGAGAUGUAGGUGAGAAUCCUACACACCGAAAGCCCAAGGAUUCCAGGGGAAGGUUCGUCCGCCCUGGGUAAGUCGGGACCUAACGCGAGGCCGAAAGGCGUAGUGGAUGGAAAGCAGGCGAAAGAUUCCUGCACCCGUAUAUGGAGCGAAGGAGUGACGGAGACGGAUAGUGUGACCCUCUUAAUGGAUUGAGGGCGAAGCGAAGCGGCUGGUUACCAGGCAAAUCCGGUAACCAAAAGGCUAGAGCGUGACAGGUAAGCGAAAUCUUAGGAAAGUAGCGAAGCACAUGAUGACGGCUUCCAGGAAAAGCUUCUGGCAAUGCAUAUGCGGCCCGUACCAAAACCGACACAGGUGGGCAGGGAGAGAAUCCCGAGGUGAGCGAGAGAACUGUUGCCAAGGAACUCGGCAAAAUGACUCCGUAAGUUAGCGAGAAGGAGUGCUUAAGCAAUUAAGCCGCAGUGAAGAGGCCCAAGCGACUGUUUAACUAAAACACAGCUCUCUGCGAAGUCGCAAGACGAAGUAUAGGGGGUGACACCUGCCCGGUGCUGGAAGGUUAAGAGGAUCUGUUAAGAGCGAUCUGAAGCAGUGAUCCGAAGCCCCAGUGAACGGCGGCCGUAACUAUAACGGUCCUAAGGUAGCGAAAUUCCUUGUCAGGUAAGUUCUGACCCGCACGAAAGGUGUAACGAUUUGGGCGCUGUCUCGGCAGCAGACUCGGUGAAAUCUUAGUACCUGUGAAAAUGCAGGUUACCCGCAACUAGACGGAAAGACCCCAUGGAGCUUUACUGCAGCCUGAUAUUGAAUUCUGGUCAUACAUGUACAGGAUAGGUGGGAGACAAAGAGACGUGCACGCCAGUGUACGAGGAGUCGUCGUUGGGAUACCACUCUUGUGUGACCGGGGUUCUAACCUGGUAUCGAGAACAGGUACGGGGAGAGUGUCAGGUGGGCAGUUUGACUGGGGCGGUCGCCUCCCAAAGAGUAACGGAGGCGCCCAAAGGUACGCUCAGAUUGGAUGGAAACCAAUCGUCGAGUGCAAUUGCAGAAGCGUGCUUGACUGUGAGACAAACAAGUCGAACAGGGACGAAAGUCGGGAAUAGUGAUCCGGCGGUGCCGAAUGGAAGGGCCGUCGCUCAACGGAUAAAAGCUACCCUGGGGAUAACAGGCUGAUCUCGCCCAAGAGUUCACAUCGACGGCGAGGUUUGGCACCUCGAUGUCGGCUCAUCGCAUCCUGGAGCUGGAUUCGGUUCCAAGGGUUGGGCUGUCCGCCCAUUAAAGCGGUACGCGAGCUGGGUUCAGAACGUCGUGAGACAGUUCGGUCCCUAUCUGUUGUGGGCGAAGGAGAUCUGCGGAGAGCUGUCCUCAGUACGAGAGGACCGGGAUGGACCUACCGCUGGUGCACCGGUUGUUCCGCCAGGGGCAUAGCCGGGUAGCUAAGUAGGGAAAGGAUAAGCGCUGAAAGCAUCUAAGCACGAAGCCUACUCCAAGAUGAGAUCUCCCAUUCG